AUUGAACGCUGGCGGCAGGCCUAACACAUGCAAGUCGAACGAGUGGCGGACGGGUGAGUAAUGGAUGGGAAACUGCCUGAUGGAGGGGGAUAACUACUGGAAACGGUAGCUAAUACAGAAUACCAUAGGAUGUGCCCAGGUGGGAUUAGCUAGUAGGUGGGGUAAAGGCUCACCUAGGCGACGAUCCCUAGCUGGUCUGAGAGGAUGACCAGCCACACGGGAACUGAGCCACGGUCCAGACUCCUACGGGAGGCAGCAGUGGGGAAUAUUGCACAAGGGGCGCAAGCCUGAUGCAGCCAUGCCGAGUGUAUGAAGAAGGCCUUCGGUUUGUAAAGUACUUUCAGCUGGUAGGCGUUACCCGCAGAAGAAGCACCGGCUAACUCCGUGCCAGCCGCCGCGGUAAUAC
RNAcentral lists this ribosomal RNA (406 nucleotides) under uncultured bacterium. RNAcentral describes it as "partial 16S ribosomal RNA". It matches the Rfam family "Bacterial small subunit ribosomal RNA", at positions 30 to 526 of the family's 1533-position model. The record is from RNAcentral.